Harmonia axyridis is the source of this 4086-nucleotide long non-coding RNA. RefSeq lists it as uncharacterized. The record is from RefSeq and is a predicted model, not a curated record. The transcript has 3 exons. NCBI's taxonomy places the organism in Eukaryota, Metazoa, Arthropoda, Insecta, Coleoptera, Coccinellidae.
ACAAAGACACGUCAAAACUUUGGAAUGAGAGAAGAAGCGACGAAAUCUGAUACUCUGCUCGAAUUCUCUAAAGAAUGAGCUAAGUGGAUGAAAUUUGAAACGAAAGAGAUGGGAGAAUUAGAAAAUAUUAUUGAGGAAAAAGUUGAGUAUCUUUGAUAAUGAUUUCCAUUUCCAUUAAUAGUCAUUAUGAAGAUGUACCUACCUAUUAGCUUUCAAAUGAAAUGAAAUAAGAUGUCAGAUAAAGAUAACUUACAGUGUCUUACCCAACACAUGUGUACACACUACUAUCACUGGAGGCCUUACCUCAGAUAUAAAGGAAGAAGUUAUUGAAUUAGUUGAACAGUUCAUUGAUGGCAAUAGAAAUUAUGAAAGAAACUCAUUUAUUCUAGAAUGCAAAAUAGAAGAUUGUAAUUCCAUCGAUGAAAAGCAACAUGAGUGCAAUACAGGAAUACUUAUGCCACAGGAAGAUCUUGAUAUGGAUGAACAGUCCACUUAUAAGAAUACAGGAUAUGAGUUGUACAUUUCAGAAUGCAAAACAGUUGAAUUGAAUGGACAAUGUAAUUCCAUUGGUAAAAAGGAACAUAGGAGAAAUGCAUGUGAUACAGAAAAACCUACUCAUUUGAAGAAAUAUAAAUAUAUUUUCUGCAUAAAUUAAUUUAAUUUCUGUGACUAUGCUGCAGCUCGAAAAAUUACCCUGGAAAACCAUAUCAAUGCAAUUCAUUUGAAUAACAAAAAAUAUAAAUGUCACUUAUGUGAGUAUUGUGCAACCCAGAAACUGAUUCUCCAAGAUCACAUAAAUGCUGUUCAUUUGAAUAAGAAAGAAUAUAAGUGUGAUUCAUGUGAGUAUGCUUCAAACUACUAAGGAAAUGCUGUCCAUUUAAAUAAAAAAGAGUAUAAGUGUCACUUAUGUGAGUAUGCCUGCACCAUAAGAGCAAAUCUACUUAAACACAUAGAUGCUUAUUUAAAUAAAAGGAAACAUAAAUGUCAUUUCUGUGACUAUGCUGCAAACCAGAAAGGUGUUCUCCAAAAUCACAUAUCGACAAUCCAUCAUUUGAAUAAAAAACGACAUGUGUCACUUUUGUGAGUAUUCUGCAACACAGAAAGUGAAUCUCCAAAUACAUUUAAAUACUGUUCAUUUGAAAAAACUAACAUUUAAGUGUCAUCUCUGUAAGUAUGGAGCAACCCGAAAUCAUAGACUUAAAAAUCAUAUAAAUGCUAUUCAUUUGAACAACAAUAAAUAUAAAUGCCAUUCAUGUGAAUAUUCGGCAAAUGUGAAAAGGAGCCUCGAAUAUCAUAUUAAUGCAAUUCAUCCGAAAAACAAAAAUUAAGAAUGUCGCUUUUGAGAAUAUACUGUAAACCGGAAAGAAAAUCAUUCGAAACACAUCAAUACUGUUCAUUUGAAUAUGAGAGAAUGAUUGUCAUUUCUGUGAGUAUUCUGAAAACCUGAAUGUUGACUUCCAAAAUCACACAUUGUCAAUCUAUUUGAAGAAAAAAGGCUAUGAGUGUGUUUUAUGUAAUUACUCUGCAAACCACAAAUUGAAUCUUUAAGAGCUCACAAAUGCUGUUCAUAUGAAUAAAAAAAGCUGUAAGUGUCACUUAUGUGAUUAUACUGGAACACUAUAGGUGCAUUUCCAAAAUCACAAGAAAGCUAUUCAUUUCAAGUCUUUUUAAAUAAAACAAACAUUUUUGAAAAACAAUAUGUUAUUAUAACUGAAUGGAAAUUAAAGUCCUUAAGUACUCUAAUAGAAUGCUAGAUUGUUAGUUUCUCUAAGUUAUUUCUUGAAGUUUACUUUAAGGAAACCGAUAGUGAUCUCAAGAUGGAAUGUGGCGUUAGAUAUAUAAAAAACUGGCAUUCCUUAAUUGCAAUCUGCUUAAAUCUGAUAUGGAUAAUGGAAGGCAAAAUUGUUCUGAUCAUGGUAAAAAUUCAUAUAAGUAAUAUACACAUAAGUAUGGUGAAAUUUCUAAGUAACUGUUAUUCAUGCUUAAACAUUCUAUAAUGCUGAUGAGGAAAAUACCUUGGGUGAUUGGGUGAUGAUUUAUUGAAACAAUAUGAAAAAAACACAUUUUGGUUUGUAAUUGAUAGAUUUUGUAAUAUGACCAAAAAUAAAUCUACGGCAAAUCUUACAAUAUGCCCACAAUACUUUUUGAUCUAUUCAAACUGCAAUGACUGCUACCAAAAUUAUUUAAAAUGAGUCAGAAAUUCUGGAUUUACCAGCAAAAUAUUCAAGUUCUAUAAAGAAUACAAAGAAAAAUUUAGACAAAUUUGCAGAAGAGAAGAAAAAUUAUUGAAAGAAAUAAGACAAGUGUGAGCAAUCAUAAACAAUAAAAAAAUCUACUAAUAAAAAAGUUGUGAGCAUUGAUACUUUCAACAAUUAUUUCGUAUAAUCCGAAAAGCAAUUAUUCAAAACUAAAACUCCCUAACAAGCAGAAAAACAGCAAAGAAGCUAUUAAGGAAGCAUAAAUCACAUCUACAAGAAAAUUCCAAAUUUUAUCCAACAACAGAAUUUGGGAUUGCAAAAAUCAUUUUCACAGCAAAUACAUAGCAGAUGUCUACUGUCAAGUGUAUUACUAGAGCCUUACCAUAAUUUUUUACUGUUAUAGUUAACAAAUGCUUGGAAGGAGUGUUUCCGGUUGAGAAUAAGACAGACAGAGUCAUACAAAUUUAUAAAAAAUGACAUGAAGUCAAGAGCUUUUUUGCUCUUUCAUUAAUGAUCCAAUCAAAAGCUCUUGACUCAUCAGUUUUUAAUUAAAUGAAUGUAUAUCGUUCUUAAAAAUCUAUCUAUGAGGAUGCCAAUGAAUUGGACGAUAUCUAUUAUACCAGGAGAGUUGUGUUAGAAACCAGAACAUAGAUACUAAUCAUUUCUAUCAAAUGCAGAACUUACAUAAGAGAGUUUAUGGACGACAGAAGUUUCAAAUGAACUAUGGAAUUUAAAAAAAAGGAAUAAUUUAUCUAUGACGAUAGUUUACCUGAUAUAUUUUGAAUUUAAUAAUUUUAUUCAAGUGAUCUCUACUAUUUAGAAUGUAUUGAGGUUAUUUAUAUCUUAUUUUUUCAAACAUCAUUGCUGAAAAUCAGAAAUUUCUGAAAAGAUGUAUGAUGAUAUAAAGUUCAUAAUAAAUAUCAGAAUUGUGUUGUUAAGACUUCAUUGGAUGUGAUGUUGACCAAGAAAUUUUACAUAGAAUGCAUAGAAAGGUAAUGAUUAAAUAUCAAUUUUUUUCAUUUUAUUUGAAUAUGUCUUCUUGAAAAACAUAAUUCUGUUAUAUUUAGUUUUUGAAAGUAACAUUCCUGUAUAGAAAUCUUAGUUCUUAGCUUAUGUUUUUACAUCAUCGUUCUGUAAUAAAAUUUAGUAUUUGUGCCAAUAAGUGUUUCUUGAUGAAUUUUUUUUUGUGGCUGUUUAUUUUGGAAUUCUAUGAGUUGUUAAUCAGCAUAAAAUUAACUUUAAACUUAACAUUUGACAUUAAGAGAAUGAGAAAAAAAAGUUUAUAGGUAAUGAUCCAAAUUAUUACCAGAAAUCUCCAAAUUACUGUAUACUGUUUCUUAGGUUUCAAAAUAAGAAGGAAUAUUUGAACCAGUAGAUACGACAAAUAACCCUUUUAUUGAAGCAUAACUAAUAUUCAUUUUCAACAACUUGAAAUCAUGAAUAACAAAAUACAAAAUUUCAUAAUGAAUCAUAUGUACUGUGUGCGAAAUCAUCGUUCAUGUAAUAUGGGGAUGGACAGACAUUAACUGAUUCAUAUAUUUCACUAGCAGCUCCCUUCUCCAGAUCUUUGGAUCUUCCACUUAUCACCGGGGGAAAUAUCCUAGGCCUCUGGAGAUAAUCAGAUGGAUACUGAUCUAUGUAGGGUAUGGAGAAUUCUUCAACGGACUCAUAUAUUUUUGGGGUGAGAUAACCAUCACUCCAACUUAUCAACGAGGGUGGAUAUUUAUGUUGUUGGUAGUACUUCUGUUCUUGGUUUGGAUUCCUUUUCACGUAUAUGUACAUCAAACAGAGAGCUAUGAAUAGAAUGCCAAUGAGACCACUGCAAACACUAAUAAUGACAGGAAGCUUCAAUUCGUUAGUUAUCCAGCUCUGCUUUGCCCAUUCUUUA